RNAcentral lists this unclassified non-coding RNA (194 nucleotides) under plant metagenome. RNAcentral's name for it is "partial contains small subunit ribosomal RNA, internal transcribed spacer 1, and 5.8S ribosomal RNA". The record is from RNAcentral.
UAUCCGUAGGUGAACCUGCGGAAGGGUCAUUACAGAGUUCAUGCCCGACAGGGCAAACCUCCCACCCUUGUGUAUUAUUACUUUGUUGCUUUGGCGAGCGCAAGCUGACCAGAGAAUAUCAUAACUCGUUUUCUUAAUGUCGUCUGAGUACUAUAUAAUAGUUAAAACUUUCAACAACGGAUCUCUUGGUUCUG